AAUCAUUUAGAUAGUCAAUACUCUAUUUUGACAGCAUAUUCCCAUUUCACCAUCAGGGAAUUUCCCUACAUAUAUAAAUGCUACAUAAACAUGGGUCAGAAAAAAAGAUUUGAAUAUUUGGUAUGGACUUGUAUUUACACUGUUAUUUCUGUGUAUGCCAGAUCCCUUAUCAUUUCUUUAUGUUCCUUCUAUUUCAAUUGCUGCCGUGAGCUUCUGUAGUGUGGCAAGCAUCAACCCUUUUUAUGAUUUUACUCUAUUUGUGGUGAUAACUAUGAAAUCUGAGUAAUCGAGUCCUGCUUCUCCAUUUAACAGGUAAGGCUGUUUCUAUCGGAGGAAUCUCCUUCACAA
RNAcentral lists this unclassified non-coding RNA (348 nucleotides) under Hevea brasiliensis (rubber tree). The record is from RNAcentral. Lineage: Eukaryota; Viridiplantae; Streptophyta; Magnoliopsida; Malpighiales; Euphorbiaceae.